Triticum aestivum (bread wheat) is the source of this 69-nucleotide non-coding RNA. The record is from Rfam. Lineage: Eukaryota; Viridiplantae; Streptophyta; Magnoliopsida; Poales; Poaceae.
UCCACUAUUCAGUUGGUAGAGUACAAAGCUUUUAACCUUAUGGACGUGGGUUCAAGCCCCAUGGUGGAG